CCUACGGGAGGCUGCAGUGGGGAAUAUUGGACAAUGGGGGCAACCCUGAUCCAGCCAUGCCGCGUGUGUGAAGAAGGCCCUCGGGUUGUAAAGCACUUUCAGUGAGGAAGAACGCCUGGUGGUUAAUACCCAUCAGGAAAGACAUCACUCACAGAAGAAGCACCGGCUAACUCCGUGCCAGCAGCCGCGGUAAUACGGAGGGUGCGAGCGUUAAUCGGAAUUACUGGGCGUAAAGCGCGCGUAGGUGGCUUGAUAAGCCGGUUGUGAAAGCCCCGGGCUCAACCUGGGAACGGCAUCCGGAACUGUCAAGCUAGAGUGCAGGAGAGGAAGGUAGAAUUCCCGGUGUAGCGGUGAAAUGCGUAGAGAUCGGGAGGAAUACCAGUGGCGAAGGCGGCCUUCUGGACUGACACUGACACUGAGGUGCGAAAGCGUGGGUAGCAAAUAGGAUUAGAUACCCCAGUAGUC
Molecule: ribosomal RNA, 465 nt
Filed under: Vreelandella stevensii
Lineage: Bacteria; Pseudomonadati; Pseudomonadota; Gammaproteobacteria; Oceanospirillales; Halomonadaceae
Description: partial 16S ribosomal RNA
Rfam family: Bacterial small subunit ribosomal RNA
Source: RNAcentral